CGGGUGAGUAAUGUCUGGGAAACUGCCUGAUGGAGGGGGGUAACUACUGGAAACGGUAGCUAAUACCGCAUAACGUCGCAAGACCAAAGAGGGGGACCUUAGGGCCUCUUGCCAUCGGAUGUGCCCAGAUGGGAUUAGCUAGUAGGUGGGGUAAUGGCUCACCUAGGCGACGAUCCCUAGCUGGUCUGAGAGGAUGACCAGCCACACUGGAACUGAGACACGGUCCAG
Molecule: ribosomal RNA, 228 nt
Filed under: uncultured bacterium
Lineage: Bacteria
Description: partial 16S ribosomal RNA
Rfam family: Bacterial small subunit ribosomal RNA
Source: RNAcentral